UUCCACUAACAGGAAUCUUCAUUGUUGUUAAGUUUGUAUGACUGAAACAUUGACUUUAUAGGCCACUAAUAAGUAAUAAAUAUUGAGUUAGCUGGAAACAUGAACCUGGCAUUUUAUUUUAAUGAAUUUGUGGAUCUUUAAAGAAGACCUAUUUUCAUAUGUAAAUGGAUAAAUACAUUAUUUGGAUGUGUGUUUGUAAUGCAAUAUAGCUCAAGAUUGUUUAUUAACAUAUAAUAUAUGAUGG
RNAcentral lists this unclassified non-coding RNA (244 nucleotides) under Hevea brasiliensis (rubber tree). The record is from RNAcentral. Lineage: Eukaryota; Viridiplantae; Streptophyta; Magnoliopsida; Malpighiales; Euphorbiaceae.